GAGGGCAUAGCUCAAUGGUAGAGUGCAUGCUUAGCAUGCAGGAGGUGCUGGGUUCAUGCCCCAGUACUCCCU
RNAcentral lists this transfer RNA (72 nucleotides) under Camelus bactrianus (Bactrian camel). It matches the Rfam family "tRNA". From Rfam's summary of the family: Transfer RNA (tRNA) molecules are approximately 80 nucleotides in length. Their secondary structure includes four short double-helical elements and three loops (D, anti-codon, and T loops). Further hydrogen bonds mediate the characteristic L-shaped molecular structure. tRNAs have two regions of fundamental functional importance: the anti-codon, which is responsible for specific mRNA codon recognition, and the 3' end, to which the tRNAs corresponding amino acid is attached (by aminoacyl-tRNA synthetases). tRNAs cope with the degeneracy of the genetic code in two manners: having more than one tRNA (with a specific anti-codon) for a particular amino acid; and 'wobble' base-pairing, i.e. permitting non-standard base-pairing at the 3rd anti-codon position. The record is from Rfam by way of RNAcentral. RNAcentral also lists the same sequence under 2 other names. Lineage: Eukaryota; Metazoa; Chordata; Mammalia; Artiodactyla; Camelidae.